UACGUAGGGUGCAAGCGUUGUCCGGAAUUAUUGGGCGUAAAGAGCUCGUAGGCGGUUUGUCGCGUCUGGUGUGAAAAUCCAGGGCUUAACCCUGGACCUGCAUCGGGUACGGGCAGACUAGAGUGCGGUAGGGGAGAUCGGAAUUCCUGGUGUAGCGGUGAAAUGCGCAGAUAUCAGGAGGAACACCGGUGGCGAAGGCGGAUCUCUGGGCCGUAACCGACGCUGAGGAGCGAAAGCAUGGGGAGCGAACAGG
This 253-nucleotide ribosomal RNA is filed under the name uncultured bacterium. Its description in RNAcentral is "partial 16S ribosomal RNA". It matches the Rfam family "Bacterial small subunit ribosomal RNA", at positions 524 to 776 of the family's 1533-position model. The record is from RNAcentral.